This 99-nucleotide ribosomal RNA is filed under the name Diplasiolejeunea erostrata. RNAcentral's name for it is "partial 26S ribosomal RNA". It matches the Rfam family "Eukaryotic large subunit ribosomal RNA", at positions 1 to 98 of the family's 3401-position model. RNAcentral also lists the same sequence under 1 other name. The record is from RNAcentral. Lineage: Eukaryota; Viridiplantae; Streptophyta; Jungermanniopsida; Porellales; Lejeuneaceae.
GUGACCUCAGAUCAGGCAAGACCACCCGCUGAGUUUAAGCAUAUCACUAAGCGGAGGAAAAGAAACUAACAAGGAUUUCCUUAGUAACGGCGAGCGAAC